Non-coding RNA from Podarcis muralis (Common wall lizard), 977 nucleotides. NCBI's taxonomy places the organism in Eukaryota, Metazoa, Chordata, Lepidosauria, Squamata, Lacertidae. The record is from RefSeq and is a predicted model, not a curated record.
UUUGGUCCCCAUGCAACCCCAGACAGAGGCAAAUAUGGCCACAACAUCUGCCUGGCCUGCGAUGAGGGAUCUCAAAGAGCGUCAGCAGGGCUCUCCAUACAAAGCACCUAGCAUGGGGGAACCUACAGGACCCUGCAGCUUGUUUUGGCUCCUUGACUCCUCAGGAAGGAUGAAAGAGACGGAUCCUGCAAAGCUAGCGAGGAUGAAAGGGGGAAGAUGGACGGUUGACCUGGUCAGGUUGUCUCCUGCAUCCCUCCCCACAACCUCUGAGUGUUCCCUCCCAGGGACCUCCGAGAGAUCUGAUGGUGAUGAAUUGGAAGAAAGAACAAGGGGGAGCCCAACAGAAUCCACAUAUCGGAGAAGUCAUCUAAAUAUUCUACGUGUGGAGAGAACAUUGGUCAGAGCUCCCAGUCCAUCUCCCAUCAAGGAAGGAGCUUCAUUCAGAGGGAUACCAUCACUUCCCAUGAAAGAACUCACAGUAGACAGAAAUUGUAUCAGUGCUUUGAAUGUGGAAAAAGCUUCAGUCAAAGCGAGACUCUCACUUCCCAUCAAAUAAUUCAUACAGGGGAGAAACCCUAUCAGUGCUUGGAAUGUGGAAAGAGCUUCAGUCUCAAGCACAGUCUCACUUCCCGUCGAAGAAUUCAUAUAGGUCACAAACCAUAUCAAUGCUUUGAAUGUGGAAAGAGCUUCUGUCAAAGUGCCCAUCUCACUUUUCAUCAAAUAGUUCAUAAAAGAGAGAAAAAUUCUUAGUGUUUGGAACGUGGGGAAAGCUUCAGUCAGAGUGCUGGUCUAAUUGCCCACCAAGUAAUUCACACAGGGUUGAAAGCAUUUAAGAACUCAAAGCAGGGUGAAUAAAGAAUAAUAAGUUCGGAAUCUUAUCCAACCCCCUCCAAUGCAGAAAUCUCGUUUCAAGCACCCGUGACAAAUGGCCAUCCAAAUUCUUCCUAAAAACCUCCAAUAAAGAGGAGUCUACUCCC